RNAcentral lists this ribosomal RNA (244 nucleotides) under Vibrio parahaemolyticus. Its description in RNAcentral is "partial 16S ribosomal RNA". It matches the Rfam family "Bacterial small subunit ribosomal RNA", at positions 1299 to 1533 of the family's 1533-position model. Lineage: Bacteria; Pseudomonadati; Pseudomonadota; Gammaproteobacteria; Vibrionales; Vibrionaceae. The record is from RNAcentral.
UGGAGUCUGCAACUCGACUCCAUGAAGUCGGAAUCGCUAGUAAUCGUGGAUCAGAAUGCCACGGUGAAUACGUUCCCGGGCCUUGUACACACCGCCCGUCACACCAUGGGAGUGGGCUGCAAAAGAAUAGGUAGUUUAACCUUCGGGGGGGACGCUUACCACUUUGUGGUUCAUGACUGGGGUGAAGUCGUAACAAGGUAGCGCUAGGGGAACCUGGCGCUGGAUCACCUCCUUAUACGAUGAU